UUUAUUGAAACUUCGGUCGAUUUAAUUUAAUUCUAGUGGCGGACGGGUGAGUAACGCGUGGGUAACCUGCCUUGUACAGGGGGAUAACAGUCAGAAAUGGCUGCUAAUACCGCAUAAGCGCACAGAGCUACAUGGCUCAGUGUGAAAAACUACGGUGGUAUAAGAUGGACCCGCGUUGGAUUAGCUAGUUGGUGGGGUAACGGCCCACCAAGGCGACGAUCCAUAGCCGGCCUGAGAGGGUGAACGGCCACAUUGGGACUGAGACACGGCCCAGACUCCUACGGGAGGCAGCAGUGGGGAAUAUUGCACAAUGGGGGAAACCCUGAUGCAGCGACGCCGCGUGAAGGAAGAAGUAUCUCGGUAUGUAAACUUCUAUCAGCAGGGAAGAUAGUGACGGUACCUGACUAAGAAGCCCCGGCUAACUACGUGCCAGCAGCCGCGGUAAUACGUAGGGGGCAAGCGUUAUCCGGAUUUACUGGGUGUAAAGGGAGCGUAGACGGUGUGGCAAGUCUGAUGUGAAAGGCAUGGGCUCAACCUGUGGACUGCAUUGGAAACUGUCAUACUUGAGUGCCGGAGGGGUAAGCGGAAUUCCUAGUGUAGCGGUGAAAUGCGUAGAUAUUAGG
Molecule: ribosomal RNA, 623 nt
Filed under: uncultured Lachnospiraceae bacterium
Lineage: Bacteria; Bacillati; Bacillota; Clostridia; Lachnospirales; Lachnospiraceae
Description: bacterial SSU rRNA
Rfam family: Bacterial small subunit ribosomal RNA
Source: RNAcentral